This 451-nucleotide ribosomal RNA is filed under the name uncultured bacterium. RNAcentral's name for it is "partial 16S ribosomal RNA". It matches the Rfam family "Bacterial small subunit ribosomal RNA", at positions 354 to 796 of the family's 1533-position model. The record is from RNAcentral.
GUGGGGAAUAUUGGACAAUGGGGGGAACCCUGAUCCAGCCAUGCCGCGUGUGUGAAGAAGGCCUUUUGGUUGUAAAGCACUUUAAGCGAGGAGGAGGCUACUUAGAUUAAUACUCUAGGAUAGUGGACGUUACUCGCAGAAUAAGCACCGGCUAACUCUGUGCCAGCCGCCGCGGUAAUACAGAGGGUGCAAGCGUUAAUCGGAUUUACUGGGCGUAAAGCGCGCGUAGGUGGCCAAUUAAGUGAAAUGUGAAAUCCCCGAGCUUAACUUGGGAAUUGCAUUCGAUACUGGUUGGGUAGAGUAUGGGAGAGGAUGGUAGAAUUCCAGGUGUAGCGGUUAAAUGCGUAGAGAUCUGGAGGAAUACCGAUGGCGAAGGCAGCCAUCUGGCCUAAUGCUGACACUGAGGUGCGAAAGCAUGGGGAGCAAACAGGAUUAGAUACCCGUGUAGUCC